RNAcentral lists this ribosomal RNA (825 nucleotides) under Sphaerulina sp. RNAcentral describes it as "partial large subunit ribosomal RNA". It matches the Rfam family "Eukaryotic large subunit ribosomal RNA", at positions 71 to 925 of the family's 3401-position model. The record is from RNAcentral. Lineage: Eukaryota; Fungi; Ascomycota; Dothideomycetes; Mycosphaerellales; Mycosphaerellaceae.
GGGAUUGCCCUAGUAACGGCGAGUGAAGCGGCAACAGCUCAAAUUUGAAAUCUGGCGCAAGCCCGAGUUGUAAUUUGUAGAGGAUGCUUCUGGGUAGCGACCGGUCUAAGUUCCUUGGAACAGGACGUCAUAGAGGGUGAGAAUCCCGUAUGUGACCGGCCCGCACCCUUUACGUAGCUCCUUCGACGAGUCGAGUUGUUUGGGAAUGCAGCUCUAAAUGGGAGGUAAAUUUCUUCUAAAGCUAAAUACCGGCCAGAGACCGAUAGCGCACAAGUAGAGUGAUCGAAAGAUGAAAAGUACUUUGGAAAGAGAGUUAAAAAGCACGUGAAAUUGUUGAAAGGGAAGCGCCUGCAAUCAGACUUCGCGGCAGUGUUCCGCCGGCCUUCUGGCCGGUUCAUUCUCUGUCGCGAGGCCAUCAUCGUCUCGGCCCGCUGGAUAAGACCUUGGGAAUGUAGCUCACCUUCGGGGGAGUGUUAUAGCUCAUGGUGAUGCAGCGAGGCUGGGGCGAGGUCCGCGCUUCGGCAAGGAUGAUGGCGUAAUGGUUGUCGGCGGCCCGUCUUGAAACACGGACCAAGGAGUCUAACAUCUAUGCGAGUGUUCGGGUGUCAAACCCCUACGCGUAAUGAAAGUGAACGGAGGUGGGAACCGCAAGGCGCACCAUCGACCGAUCCUGAUGUCCUCGGAUGGAUUUGAGUAAGAGCAUAGCUGUUGGGACCCGAAAGAUGGUGAACUAUGCCUGAAUAGGGUGAAGCCAGAGGAAACUCUGGUGGAGGCUCGCAGCGGUUCUGACGUGCAAAUCGAUCGUCAAAUUUGGGUAUAGGGGCG